AUGUCAUCACAAGCAUGCCUCAAAAGUGCUGGUGAGAUUCUCUUCAUUAUCAAGCAUUUGCACAACCUGAGCCACACCUUCAGCUAUUUCCUUCCUUAUAACGCCAUCAGGCAUAUCAAAUAUCCGUCUUUUCAUGGAAUUUAAUUUCCCCGGAGGUUGAGGGUCCACCACAUCAAGCAUUGCCUCCAAUUCAUCCACCAUUGACCUUUUAGCUGCUCGCACCAUCAGAUCAGUUCCCUCAAUAGCAUCCACAGUGAGAAGCAGGACAAUGAUUUUUUCAGAGAAUCUCUGGCGUUCC
RNAcentral lists this unclassified non-coding RNA (298 nucleotides) under Hevea brasiliensis (rubber tree). The record is from RNAcentral. Lineage: Eukaryota; Viridiplantae; Streptophyta; Magnoliopsida; Malpighiales; Euphorbiaceae.